RNAcentral lists this ribosomal RNA (503 nucleotides) under Blastocystis hominis. RNAcentral describes it as "SSU rRNA". It matches the Rfam family "Eukaryotic small subunit ribosomal RNA", at positions 32 to 551 of the family's 1831-position model. Lineage: Eukaryota; Bigyra; Opalinata; Blastocystidae. The record is from RNAcentral.
UCGUCUCAAAGAUUAAGCCAUGCAUGUGUAAGUAUAAAUAUUUAACUUUGAAACUGCGAAUGGCUCAUUAUAUCAGUUAUAGUUUAUUUGAUGAAAAGUACUACUUGGAUAACCGUAGUAAUUCUAGAGCUAAUACAUGAUAAAAUCCUCGACUUUGAAGAGGUGUAUUUAUUAGAAUGAAACCAAUAGACUUCGGUCUGUUUGUGAGUAAUAAUAACUAAUCGUAUCGCAUGCUUAGGUAGCGAUAUGUCUUUCAAGUUUCUGCCCUAUCAGCUUUGGAUGGUAGUGUAUUGGACUACCAUGGCAGUAACGGGUAACGAAGAAUUUGGGUUCGAUUUCGGAGAGGGAGCCUGAGAGAUGGCUACCACAUCCAAGGAAGGCAGCAGGCGCGUAAAUUACCCAAUCCUGACAUAGGGAGGUAGUGACAAUAAAUCACAAUGCGGAACUAUUAGUUUUGCAAUUGGAUUGAGAACAAUGUACAAAUGUUAUCGAUAAACAAUUGG